RNAcentral lists this long non-coding RNA (1176 nucleotides) under Rhinolophus ferrumequinum (greater horseshoe bat). RNAcentral describes it as "lncRNA (ENSRFEG00010001098.1)". The record is from RNAcentral. Lineage: Eukaryota; Metazoa; Chordata; Mammalia; Chiroptera; Rhinolophidae.
GUUGCGGCAAAUAAUGCUUCUUCCAACAACAGACAAGCGCUGAAACCUUUCCAGCACGUUUGCUCGGCCGGGAGUUUGGUGCUGGCCCGCGCGCCUCUUCCGGCCUCCUUCCAGCACCCCUGCACCCGGCCAGCGCGCAUCUGUGACCGCCAGUCCCACGCGGGCUGCCCCCACGUGGGCUUCCCACCUGUUCGCGCUCCCAGACGGGCUGAGACCGCUUCUCGCUCCCGCUCACGAAGCAGCUGCCGAGUGACACGGAGGGUGUCCGACUGCCGACUGCUGCCCGCCCGCCGCGUGCCAAGCGCUGGCCUGCGGACAGAGUCCCUGCGACAGUGGCGGGCGGACGUACACAGAACGGGAGCAUCCGCAGAGGGAGCCGCGGGGAAGACGCGCGAAACCGGCUGCGGCGAACGGCUGCAGCCCAGCGACGUCAGCGAGGGCAACGGAGGGGACGUGCGCGACACCGCGGGUGAAGGGAGUCGGAGGACGCGGUCCGCAGGGGGGACGGCGGUGCCGCGACGGGAGAGGCCGAGGCCGGGGCCGGGGCCGGAGGCCCGGCGGGCACCGACCGACCCUCCCGCCAGCAGUCAGCCCGCGGGCAGGACGCGUCGGGGGCGUCCCGAAAGUCUCCGCCGGCGGGCUCGGCUCUUGGGCAGAGACGCCACCAGGCCCCGCCCUUCCGGCCGGAAGCGGAAGUGGCGCGGGCAGCUCACUUCCGGGCGGGUUGCGGGCGGCGGUGGCGCGUACGGUGAGGCCCCUGCGGACGCGGGGGUGGGGCGGGUGCGGGCCCCCGGGUGGUGGUCGCCGGCCUCCGCCGCUGUCCCUCCCCGGCUCGGGCGGGUGGCGGGCGGGCGCGGGCCCGGGGCGGUGGCACAGCCCUGCGGCACCUUGGCCGCCCGGCCCCGCGUCUGUGCCGGCGGCAGUCGGGCGUCGCCUCCCCGUGGGCGCCGCCGUGUCUUCCUCGCGCCGGGCUGCGCCUCGCGUGGGUGCCUGUCCGGUUCCGAGGGCGCCCGCCGCCUCCGGGGACGACGGUCGGGAGCGCGGGCUGCCCCCGGGCCCGAGGCGCCGUCUGAGGCGCCCCGCAGGCUGUGUCCUCCGCGAGCGACCCUCCAGCCCCGCGGGGCAGCCGUGCGGGUGUUAGUGGCGCUGGACGGGCUGACAGCAGGUCCAAGCUAA